This 422-nucleotide ribosomal RNA is filed under the name uncultured bacterium. RNAcentral's name for it is "partial 16S ribosomal RNA". It matches the Rfam family "Bacterial small subunit ribosomal RNA", at positions 362 to 776 of the family's 1533-position model. The record is from RNAcentral.
UUUUGGACAAUGGGCGCAAGCCUGAUCCAGCCAUGCCGCGUGAGUGAAGAAGGCCUUCGGGUUGUAAAGCUCUUUCGGUCGGCAAGAAAUCGCGCCGGCUAAUACCCUGCUCGCAUGACGGUACCGUCCUAAGAAGCACCGGCUAACUACGUGCCAGCAGCCGCGGUAAUACGUAGGGUGCGAGCGUUGACCGGAAUUACUGGGCGUAAAGCGGGCGCGGGCGGGUGAUUAGGACAGGCGUGAAAUCCCCGGGGUUAGCCUGGGAACUGCGCUUGUGACUGGUCAGCUAGAGUACGGCAGAGGGGGGUGGAAUUCCACGUGUAGCAGUGAAAUGCGUAGAGAUGUGGAGGAACACCGAUGGCGAAGGCGGGCCGGUGGGCCGGUAGUGAGGCUCAGGCACGGAAGGGUGGGUAGCAAACAGG